This 800-nucleotide long non-coding RNA is filed under the name Ananas comosus (pineapple). RNAcentral describes it as "long non-coding RNA (ACOM_LNC018546)". Lineage: Eukaryota; Viridiplantae; Streptophyta; Magnoliopsida; Poales; Bromeliaceae. The record is from RNAcentral.
CUAUUUCUAUAGUAAUUUUUGCAUAAUAUUUUGGGUAAACUUCAAAUACUAUUUCUAUGGUUUUGUACUUUUUUUAAUUUAACAUUCUAUGAUUUAAAGUAUAUCAAUUUACCGUUAUGUGAUUUUAUUUUUUUUCUUUUUAUCAGCCUAUCCGUUAACUUUUCGUUAAAUCAUAUACAAAAAACUUUAAAUAUCCCAUCCAUAGUUUAUCGAAUAUAUUGACUUUAAUACUCUUUAGUUUUAACUCUGGAAGUGAUUUAAUGAAAAAAAAACUAGUGGAGGGAUAACAAAAAGAGAAAAAUGAAACCACAUGGUAUGAAAGUGAUACAUUUUAAACCACAUGAUACUAAAGUGAGAAAGUGCGAAAGAACAAGGAUGGUAUUUGAAGUCUUUCCUAAUAUUUUUGCGUGAAUAAUACUACCCAUAUACUCCCGAAGGAGUAUAUACCAUCAUAGUUAGUUAAUUCGGAUUCGGCAAAAAUUCGGUACGGAUAUAAUUCGGAUAAAAUUCGUCUUUUAAUUUUUAAAUUCGUUGAAAAAUACGACUAAAAAACGGAUUCGGUAAUUAUUCGGAUACGUGAUUUGUAUGGAUAUUAUACGUUCACCAAUUAAAAAUUUAGAAUAAAAAAUUCGACCAUAUAAUAAAUAUAUAAUAAUUAAUAUACUAUAUAUAUUAUUAUUAUAAUUUUUAUAUAUAGAUUAAAUAUAUUUAAAAUUAUAAUAAAUAUAUAUUAAUAAUAUAUAAGAGUUAUAUAUUUACAAAUAUUAAUAAAUAAUUACAAAUUUAUAAAUAAAAUAUUA